RNAcentral lists this unclassified non-coding RNA (1179 nucleotides) under Hevea brasiliensis (rubber tree). Lineage: Eukaryota; Viridiplantae; Streptophyta; Magnoliopsida; Malpighiales; Euphorbiaceae. The record is from RNAcentral.
ACUUUGAUUUUUAUAUAUAUUUUAGAUGGCACAACAAGAAGCAAUAACUAGUGAUAUUAGUCAACAAUCAAUAGCUGCACAAGUUCAAGAUUCAAGUCAGUCUAAUGCUACCUCAAAAGCAAAGAGAAAAAAGAUGAGGCCAAGGUCAAUAGCAUGGGACCACUUCACUAAAAUCACUGAUGAAAAUGGUGAUCCUAAAGGCAAGUGUCUUUACUGUGACGUUAUUAUUUCUGCAUGUCCAAAAAAAAUGGCACUACUGCAUUAAGGAAUCAUAUGAGUAAUUGUAGAAAACAUCCCCAUGCUGUAAGCACUCACUAGGCACAAUUAAGUUUGCAACCAGGAUCUAGAGAGCAUGAAGGGGAGGGUGAUAGAAUGGGUACUCUUACUAACUGGAAGUUUAAUCAAGAGGCUAUUAGAAAGGCCUUAUCUUUUAUGGUGUUCGUGGAUGAAUUGCCUUUUAAAUUUGUUGAGGGUGAGGGGCUUAGAAAUUUCAUGUCAGUUGCAUGCCCUAGGUUCUGCAUUCCAUCACGAUGGACUGUUUCGCGUAAUUGCUUUGAUCUAUACCUGAGAUGCAGCUGUUCCUGCGAGAGAGGGCAUUAAUCCCCCAUAUAACCGUUCCCAUCCUUCGUGCUUUACAACCUGACAAAUUUGCUCUAUGGUUCCAAGCUUCCUCUUCUCUUUCUUCGGAUCACGCUCCGUUUGUUGCCGAGUAUUUACAGUUUGAAGAGGAUAAGUGAGGAGCUGAGCGAUGAUACCGCCGCCAGCACCGGCGAGUCCAUUGAUCAAAGCGUCAGACAUGUAAAAUUUUCUCGGGAAAAUCCGCUAUCUAAGCUCCAAUUUGCCGGGAAAGUGUAGAGAAACGAAGAACAAAAGCACAGAGAAAGAAAGAGAGAGAGAGAUCUAAUUGUAAAAUAACUGUGGGAUUGGCCGUAGCAGAGUAAUUUCAGAUGGUGACGAAGGGACUCGCUUUCAGAAGAAUCCUCCCCAUCCCAUGUCGUCUUCCAUCCCCGUGUUUAGUUGUUCCGUUGAAGAAAGGUGAAAGCUCGCUUGUAAUUACGUGGUUGUUGAGGCGGCUGUAUAUUUACCAUUUUGUCCUCACUAUAUACUUUUCGUUCGCUGAUUUGUCCUCCUCACGCUGUCAACACUUUCCAACUACCAAGAAGCAAAAACCAAUUAUUU